Molecule: ribosomal RNA, 490 nt
Filed under: uncultured bacterium
Lineage: Bacteria
Description: partial 16S ribosomal RNA
Rfam family: Bacterial small subunit ribosomal RNA
Source: RNAcentral
GAUGAACGCUAGCUACAGGCUUAACACAUGCAAGUCGCGGGGCAGCAUGGGGGUUGCUUGCAAUCCCCGAUGGCGACCGGCGCACGGGUGAGUAACGCGUAUCCAACCUGCCCUUCACCACGGGAUAACCCGGCGAAAGUCGGACUAAUACCGUAUGUUGUCCAUUGACGGCAUCCGAUUUGGACGAAAGGCUUGGCGGUGAGGGAUGGGGAUGCGUCCGAUUAGCCAGACGGCGGGGUAACGGCCCACCGUGGCUACGAUCGGUAGGGGUUCUGAGAGGAAGGUCCCCCACACUGGAACUGAGACACGGUCCAGACUCCUACGGGAGGCAGCAGUGAGGAAUAUUGGUCAAUGGGCGUAAGCCUGAACCAGCCAAGUAGCGUGCAGGAUGACGGCCCUAUGGGUUGUAAACUGCUUUUAUGCGGGGAUAAAGUGGCCCACAUGUGGGCUUUUGCAGGUACCGCAUGAAUAAGGACCGGCUAAUUCCGUG